ACGUAGGGGGCAAGCGUUAUCCGGAAUUAUUGGGCGUAAAGAGUGCGUAGGUGGUUUUUUAAGCGUGAGGUGAAAGGCAAUAGCUUAACUAUUGUAUUCCUUGCGAACUGGAAGACUUGAGUUCAGGAGAGGAAAGUGGAAUUCCUAGUGUAGCGGUGAAAUGCGUAGAUAUUAGGAGGAACACCAGAGGCGAAGGCGAAAAACAGGAAAGAAACUGACACUGAGGAACGAAAGCGUGGGGAGAAAAAAG
RNAcentral lists this ribosomal RNA (250 nucleotides) under uncultured prokaryote. RNAcentral's name for it is "partial 16S rRNA". It matches the Rfam family "Bacterial small subunit ribosomal RNA", at positions 525 to 775 of the family's 1533-position model. The record is from RNAcentral.